RNAcentral lists this ribosomal RNA (358 nucleotides) under uncultured bacterium. RNAcentral describes it as "bacterial SSU rRNA". It matches the Rfam family "Bacterial small subunit ribosomal RNA", at positions 29 to 416 of the family's 1533-position model. The record is from RNAcentral.
AACGAACGCUGGCGGCAGGCCUAACACAUGCAAGUCGAACGCUCCGCAAGGGGAGUGGCGCACGGGUGAGUAACACGUGGGAACCUACCUUCUGGUACGGAACAACCAAGGGAAACCUUGGCUAAGACCGUAUACGACCUCCGGGUGAAAGAUUGAUCGCCGGAAGAGGGGCCCGCGUCCGAUUAGGUAGUUGGUGAGGUAACGGCUCACCAAGCCUUCGAUCGGUAGCUGGUCUGAGAGGAUGACCAGCCACACUGGGACUGAGACACGGCCCAGACUCCUACGGGAGGCAGCAGUGGGGAAUAUUGGACAAUGGGCGCAAGCCUGAUCCAGCCAUGCCGCGUGAGUGAUGAAGGCC